AUUGAACGCUGGCGGCAGGCCUAACACAUGCAAGUCGAGCGGAUGAAGGGAGCUUGCUCCUGGAUUCAGCGGCGGACGGGCGAGUAAUGCCUAGGAAUCUGCCUGGUAGUGGGGGAUAACGUCCGGAAACGGGCGCUAAUAUCGCAUACGUCCUGAGGGAGAAAGUGGGGGAUCUUCGGACCUCACGCUAUCUGAUGAGCCUAGGUCGGAUUAGCUAGUUGGUGGGGUAAAGGCCUACCAAGGCGACGAUCCGUAACUGAUCUGAGAGGAUGAUCAGUCACACUGGAACUGAGACACGGUCCAGACUCCUACGGGAGGCAGCAGUGGGGAAUAUUGGACAAUGGGCGAAAGCCUGAUGCAGCCAUGCCGCGUGUGUGAAGAAGGUCUUCGGAUUGUAAAGCACUUUAAGUUGGGAAGAAGAGCAGUAAGUUAAUACCUUGCUGUUUUGACGUUACCAACAGAGUAAGCACCGGCUAACUUCGUG
Molecule: ribosomal RNA, 484 nt
Filed under: uncultured bacterium
Lineage: Bacteria
Description: partial 16S ribosomal RNA
Rfam family: Bacterial small subunit ribosomal RNA
Source: RNAcentral